ACGGGUGAGUAAUACAUCGGAACGUGCCCGAUCGUGGGGGAUAACGGAGCGAAAGCUUUGCUAAUACCGCAUACGAUCUACGGAUGAAAGCAGGGGACCGCAAGGCCUUGCGCGGACGGAGCGGCCGAUGGCAGAUUAGGUAGUUGGUGGGAUAAAAGCUUACCAAGCCGACGAUCUGUAGCUGGUCUGAGAGGACGACCAGCCACACUGGGACUGAGACACGGCCCAGACUCCUACGGGAGGCAGCAGUGGGGAAUUUUGGACAAUGGGCGAAAGCCUGAUCCAGCCAUGCCGCGUGCAGGAUGAAGGCCUUCGGGUUGUAAACUGCUUUUGUACGGAACGAAAAGCCUCUUUCUAAUAAAGAGAGGUCAUGACGGUACCGUAAGAGUAAGCACCGGCUAACUACGUGCCAGCAGCCGCGGUAAUACGUAGGGUGCGAGCGUUAAUCGGAAUUACUGGGCGUAAAGCGUGCGCAGGCGGUGAUGUAAGACAGAUGUGAAAUCCCCGGGCUCAACCUGGGAACUGCAUUUGUGACUGCAUCGCUGGAGUGCGGCAGAGGGGGAUGGAAUUCCGCGUGUAGCAGUG
RNAcentral lists this ribosomal RNA (585 nucleotides) under uncultured bacterium. RNAcentral's name for it is "bacterial SSU rRNA". It matches the Rfam family "Bacterial small subunit ribosomal RNA", at positions 102 to 683 of the family's 1533-position model. The record is from RNAcentral.